AAAAGCUAAGCGACGCGUUCACUCGGUCUCAUUCUUCUGCGGCGCGUCAAGAGUAGAGCAGGUCCAGUAUCCUGAGGACUGAUAAACGCGGGAGACGGCUGGAAUCGAGUGGAUCUGGAACAGCAGUGUGUCCAAGGAUUGUGUUGUGAAUCUGGGAAGCUGUAUCAAAGGAACGUGCAGUUGAAUUGAAAGGUUUAAGAUGUUUGCACGAGAGCUGAAGAUGCCAUCAGCUGACCACGCAGGAGUUCAACUGGGGAGCUAGCAUGUCUGGCUAUGGGAGAAUCUGCAGCUGUCUGAAUGUUUUUCAGGGCCUUCUGACCAGCAUGAUGUGCUGAUGAGUCACCGCGUCUGCUCAUUGACUGGUAUGGUGGUGACCCCCUGGGUCGUGCCAUGGGAGUAUGAGGUGUGCAUUUUUUUUUUUUUUUAAAGGGAGCUCAAGAUCAUCCAGGAUGGCUCGGAAACAUCAUUGUAGUAUAAGAAUGACUUCUGAAUGGUGUUCCAGGGCUUCAAUUCUUGUACCUCUGAUUUUUGUAGUCUCUUUGAAGCAAUUUAAAAUGACUUUCAGAUCCAUUAUCUGCAUCUGUUGCAACUAUGCAAAGUUUGUAAAAUCUUGUCAAUAAAGUGGUGAAAU
Molecule: long non-coding RNA, 631 nt
Organism: Sinocyclocheilus grahami
Lineage: Eukaryota; Metazoa; Chordata; Actinopteri; Cypriniformes; Cyprinidae
Exons: 11
Source: RefSeq, a predicted model, not a curated record